CCCUUAGAUGUCCUGGGCCGCACGCGCGCUACACUGAGUGUCUGAGAUACGAGUCUGCCUGGUCCGGCAAGGUCUAGGUAAUCGCUAAAAGACACAUCAUGCUUGGGAUAGAUUAUUGCAAAUAUUAAUCUUGAACGAGGAAUUCCUAGUAAGCGCAAGUCAACAGCUUGCGUUGAUUACGUCCCUGCCCUUUGUACACACCGCCCGUCGCUACUACUGAUUGGAUGUUUAAGCGAGGUUCUCGAACUGCUAGCGACUUAGCUUCGGUGAGGUCGCAGUGUGGGAAGUGAACCUAGCUUGGGUGUCUAGAGGAAGUAAAAGUCGUAACA
Molecule: ribosomal RNA, 329 nt
Filed under: uncultured eukaryote
Lineage: Eukaryota
Description: partial 18S ribosomal RNA
Rfam family: Eukaryotic small subunit ribosomal RNA
Source: RNAcentral